RNAcentral lists this ribosomal RNA (312 nucleotides) under Orthoderella caatingaensis. RNAcentral describes it as "eukaryotic LSU rRNA". It matches the Rfam family "Eukaryotic large subunit ribosomal RNA", at positions 1568 to 1852 of the family's 3401-position model. The record is from RNAcentral. Lineage: Eukaryota; Metazoa; Arthropoda; Insecta; Mantodea; Mantidae.
UCAAGAGUUCCCCCUCGAUGGGCGAAAGGGAAUCCGGUUCCUAUUCCGGAACCCGGCAGCGGAACCGAAUCUACGGGCCCUCUCAGAGAAGCUCGUCGGGGUAACCCAAAGGGACCCGGAGACGCCGUCGGGAGACCCGGGCAGAGUUUUCUGUUCUGCAUAAGCGUUCGAGUUCCCUGGAAUCCUCUAGCAGGGAGAUAGGGUUUGGAACGCGAAGAGCACCGCAGUUGCGGCGGUGUCCGGGUCGUCCCCUCGGACCUUGAAAAUCCGGGAGAGGGUCACGCGGAGGUGUCGCGCCGGCUCGUACCCAUA